This 1455-nucleotide ribosomal RNA is filed under the name Salmonella enterica subsp. enterica serovar Typhi. RNAcentral describes it as "bacterial SSU rRNA". The record is from RNAcentral. Lineage: Bacteria; Pseudomonadati; Pseudomonadota; Gammaproteobacteria; Enterobacterales; Enterobacteriaceae.
AAAUUGAAGAGUUUGAUCAUGGCUCAGAUUGAACGCUGGCGGCAGGCCUAACACAUGCAAGUCGAACGGUAACAGGAAGCAGCUUGCUGCUUUGCUGACGAGUGGCGGACGGGUGAGUAAUGUCUGGGAAACUGCCUGAUGGAGGGGGAUAACUACUGGAAACGGUGGCUAAUACCGCAUAACGUCGCAAGACCAAAGAGGGGGACCUUCGGGCCUCUUGCCAUCAGAUGUGCCCAGAUGGGAUUAGCUUGUUGGUGAGGUAACGGCUCACCAAGGCGACGAUCCCUAGCUGGUCUGAGAGGAUGACCAGCCACACUGGAACUGAGACACGGUCCAGACUCCUACGGGAGGCAGCAGUGGGGAAUAUUGSACAAUGGGCGCAAGCCUGAUGCAGCCAUGCCGCGUGUAUGAAGAAGGCCUUCGGGUUGUAAAGUACUUUCAGCGGGGAGGAAGGUGUUGUGGUUAAUAACCGCAGCAAUUGACGUUACCCGCAGAAGAAGCACCGGCUAACUMCGUGCCAGCAGCCGCGGUAAUACGGAGGGUGCAAGCGUUAAUCGGAAUUACUGGGCGUAAAGCGCACGCAGGCGGUCUGUCAAGUCGGAUGUGAAAUCCCCGGGCUCAACCUGGGAACUGCAUUCGAAACUGGCAGGCUUGAGUCUUGUAGAGGGGGGUAGAAUUCCAGGUGUAGCGGUGAAAUGCGUAGAGAUCUGGAGGAAUACCGGUGGCGAAGGCGGCCCCCUGGACAAAGACUGACGCUCAGGUGCGAAAGCGUGGGGAGCAAACAGGAUUAGAUACCCUGGUAGUCCACGCCGUAAACGAUGUCUACUUGGAGGUUGUGCCCUUGAGGCGUGGCUUCCGGAGCUAACGCGUUAAGUAGACCGCCUGGGGAGUACGGCCGCAAGGUUAAAACUCAAAUGAAUUGACGGGGGCCCGCACAAGCGGUGGAGCAUGUGGUUUAAUUCGAUGCAACGCGAAGAACCUUACCUGGUCUUGACAUCCACAGAACUUUCCAGAGAUGGAUUGGUGCCUUCGGGAACUGUGAGACAGGUGCUGCAUGGCUGUCGUCAGCUCGUGUUGUGAAAUGUUGGGUUAAGUCCCGCAACGAGCGCAACCCUUAUCCUUUGUUGCCAGCGGUCCGGCCGGGAACUCAAAGGAGACUGCCAGUGAUAAACUGGAGGAAGGUGGGGAUGACGUCAAGUCAUCAUGGCCCUUACGACCAGGGCUACACACGUGCUACAAUGGCGCAUACAAAGAGAAGCGACCUCGYGAGAGCAAGCGGACCUCAUAAAGUGCGUCGUAGUCCGGAUUGGAGUCUGCAACUCGACUCCAUGAAGUCGGAAUCGCUAGUAAUCGUGGAUCAGAAUGCCACGGUGAAUACGUUCCCGGGCCUUGUACACACCGCCCGUCACACCAUGGGAGUGGGUUGCAAAAGAAGUAGGUAGCUUAACCUUCGGG